This 262-nucleotide ribosomal RNA is filed under the name uncultured bacterium. RNAcentral's name for it is "partial 16S ribosomal RNA". It matches the Rfam family "Bacterial small subunit ribosomal RNA", at positions 515 to 776 of the family's 1533-position model. The record is from RNAcentral.
CCGCGGUAAUACGUAGGUGGCAAGCGUUAUCCGGAAUUAUUGGGCGUAAAGCGCGCGCAGGCGGUCUCUUAAGUCUGAUGUGAAAGCCCCCGGCUCAACCGGGGAGGGUCAUUGGAAACUGGGAGACUUGAGUGCAGAAGAGAAGAGCGGAAUUCCACGUGUAGCGGUGAAAUGCGUAGAGAUGUGGAGGAACACCAGUGGCGAAGGCGGCUCUUUGGUCUGUAACUGACGCUGAGGCGCGAAAGCGUGGGGAGCGAACAGG